AGCACUGUAUGGUAUCUGCAGCCAGCCUUCACCACCGGCUGUUCUGUUCAUAACACAGUGCGAGAUCAACUCUUCAUAUGGCAUCGUUAGGCUCUGGGCUGGUCUGUGCUUAGUGCCCUGGUAUUUGUGCUGAGACAACA
Molecule: small nucleolar RNA, 140 nt
Organism: Hucho hucho (huchen)
Lineage: Eukaryota; Metazoa; Chordata; Actinopteri; Salmoniformes; Salmonidae
Source: Ensembl